AAAGUACUCCCUUCAUCCCAAAAUUCUUGUCUUAGAUUUGUCUAGAUACGGAUGUAUCAAGUCACAUUUUAGUAUUAGAUACAUUCGUAUCUAGACAAAUCUAAGACAAGAAAUUUGGGACAGGGAGAGUAGUUG
This is a non-coding RNA of Triticum aestivum (bread wheat), 135 nucleotides long. The record is from Rfam. NCBI's taxonomy places the organism in Eukaryota, Viridiplantae, Streptophyta, Magnoliopsida, Poales, Poaceae.